UACGAAGGGGGCUAGCGUUGUUCGGAAUUACUGGGCGUAAAGCGUUUGUAGGCGGUUGAACAAGUCAGUGGUGAAAGCCCAGGGCUUAACCCUGGAAUUGCCAUUGAAACUGUUCAGCUAGAGAGUGUUAGAGGAAAGUGGAAUUCCUAGUGUAGGAGUGAAAUCCGUAGAGAUUAGGAGGAAUAUCGAUGGCGAAGGCAGCUUUCUGGGACAUUUCUGACGCUGAGAAACGAAAGCGUGGGUAGCAAACGGG
This 253-nucleotide ribosomal RNA is filed under the name uncultured bacterium. RNAcentral's name for it is "partial 16S ribosomal RNA". It matches the Rfam family "Bacterial small subunit ribosomal RNA", at positions 524 to 776 of the family's 1533-position model. The record is from RNAcentral.